ACAAAGGCUCUUUUCAGAGCCCCCAAAUCCGCAAUCAAACGAGCUG
Molecule: non-coding RNA, 46 nt
Organism: Xenopus tropicalis (tropical clawed frog)
Lineage: Eukaryota; Metazoa; Chordata; Amphibia; Anura; Pipidae
Source: Rfam